RNAcentral lists this ribosomal RNA (333 nucleotides) under uncultured soil bacterium. RNAcentral's name for it is "bacterial SSU rRNA". It matches the Rfam family "Bacterial small subunit ribosomal RNA", at positions 26 to 363 of the family's 1533-position model. The record is from RNAcentral.
AGAUUGAACGCUGGCGGCAGGCCUAACACAUGCAAGUCGAGCGGUAGAGAGGUGCUUGCACCUCUUGAGAGCGGCGGACGGGUGAGUAAUGCCUAGGAAUCUGCCUAGUGGUGGGGGAUAACGUUCGGAAACGGACGCUAAUACCGCAUACGUCCUACGGGAGAAAGCGGGGGACCUUCGGGCCUCGCGCCAUUAGAUGAGCCUAGGUCGGAUUAGCUAGUUGGUGAGGUAAUGGCUCACCAAGGCGACGAUCCGUAACUGGUCUGAGAGGAUGAUCAGUCACACUGGAACUGAGACACGGUCCAGACUCUACGGGAGCAGCAGUGGGGAAUA